CACGUAGGGGGCGAGCGUUGUCCGGAUUCAUUGGGCGUAAAGCGCGCGCAGGCGGCUCGGAAAGUCGGGUGUGAAAACUCGGGGCUCAACCCCGGGCGUGCAUCCGAUACUGCCGGGCUUGAGGCAGGUAGGGGAGAUCGGAAUUCCUGGUGUAGCGGUGAAAUGCGCAGAUAUCAGGAGGAACACCGGUGGCGAAGGCGGAUCUCUGGGCCUGUCCUGACGCUGAGGCGCGAAAGCUAGGGGAGCGAACAGGAUUAGAUACCCUGGUAGUCCUAGCCGUAAACGAUGGGUGCUAGGUGUGGGGCGGCGAUUGACUCGCCCUGUGCCGGAGCUAACGCAUUAAGCACCCCGCCUGGGGAGUACGGCCGCAAGGCUAAA
Molecule: ribosomal RNA, 378 nt
Filed under: uncultured bacterium
Lineage: Bacteria
Description: bacterial SSU rRNA
Rfam family: Bacterial small subunit ribosomal RNA
Source: RNAcentral